UACAGAGGAGGCAAGCGUUGUUCGGAAUUACUGGGCGUAAAGGGCUCGUAGGCGGCCAACUAAGUCAGACGUGAAAUCCCUCGGCUUAACCGGGGAACUGCGUCUGAUACUGGAUGGCUUGAGGUUGGGAGAGGGAUGCGGAAUUCCAGGUGUAGCGGUGAAAUGCGUAGAUAUCUGGAGGAACACCGGUGGCGAAGGCGGCAUCCUGGACCAAUUCUGACGCUGAGGAGCGAAAGCCAGGGGAGCAAACGGG
RNAcentral lists this ribosomal RNA (253 nucleotides) under uncultured bacterium. RNAcentral describes it as "partial 16S ribosomal RNA". It matches the Rfam family "Bacterial small subunit ribosomal RNA", at positions 524 to 776 of the family's 1533-position model. The record is from RNAcentral.